AUGGGGGCCAGCCCCGCGGGGUCCUUUGGCCCGGGGUGGAGGGGCGGGCGGCGAAUCCGCCUCCUGACUCGCUGCCUGGACUUCACCAGCGACGACCACCCAGGGGUCCCGGGAGGUCCUGGGGAUCCCGGAAAACAGGCCGAUCCUCCCGUCCCCAUUGUCAAGGGAGAAGGGGCUCAGAACCAGGCUGGCGAUCCCCCUGGGACUGGGGACAGCCCCGUGGCCUCCAGAGGGGGGCGAUUCCUGACCAGGAUGCUCGGCCUCCCCCACCCGUGAGCUCCUAAGCCCCUUCGGAGGGUCUCAGGUUGCCCAGGAGUGGGCGGGGCUUGGGCCAGGUGACUCCUCCGCAGGUGGCCAGACGGAGAGCUGGCACCUGACCCGCGGGCGUAGAGGUGUUCUGAGUUCCUGGCUUAAUUGGAGGCUAGGGAGUUAAGCCGGGGAAUCAUGACUGUGUCAGACCUCCCUCCCCAAAAGGCUGAGGGCCUCGGUCCAGGCGGGGCUCCGGCCCCCAUUCCUCUGCCCAGCAAGAGUUUUUCUCACAUGGCUGGUGUUUCGCAGCUGAGGAGCAUGUGGAAUUGAAGCUCUCCGGAGGUAGGUGGCGAGUGGCAGCCCAGCCGAAGUCACAGAUGUUGCUUCCUGGAUGUUACCGAAAGUCUGACCCAAACCCAUGGGGUGGGAGGGUGAGAAAGGAUGGAGCUGAAGGAUGCUGGUACCGGCAGACGUUUCCGUCCAUCUCAUCAUCCCAUCGCACAGGAGACACAGGUUCCAUCCCUGGUCAGAGAAGAUCCCAUGUGCCACGGACCAACUAAGCCCAUCCGUCACAACUAUUGAGC
Molecule: long non-coding RNA, 833 nt
Organism: Bos taurus (domestic cattle)
Lineage: Eukaryota; Metazoa; Chordata; Mammalia; Artiodactyla; Bovidae
Source: Ensembl